Amblyraja radiata (thorny skate) is the source of this 117-nucleotide long non-coding RNA. RefSeq lists it as uncharacterized. The record is from RefSeq and is a predicted model, not a curated record. Lineage: Eukaryota; Metazoa; Chordata; Chondrichthyes; Rajiformes; Rajidae. The transcript is spliced from 3 exons.
GAUGAAGGCUGCAGCAGAAAAGGGUCCCCGGUCAUCUUGGACUCCAUGCCACUGGAUCCUGACCUAGAUCUGUCGAGAACCGUGUGGUGGCUGCUGGAUUUACACAGAGGUAGUGAC